GAUGAACGCUGGCGGCGUGCCUAAUACAUGCAAGUCGAGCGAACAGACGAGGAGCUUGCUCCUCUGACGUUAGCGGCGGACGGGUGAGUAACACGUGGAUAACCUACCUAUAAGACUGGGAUAACUUCGGGAAACCGGAGCUAAUACCGGAUAAUAUAUUGAACCGCAUGGUUCAAUAGUGAAAGACGGUUUUGCUGCCACUUAUAGAUGGAUCCGCGCCGCAUUAGCUAGUUGGUAAGGUAACGGCUUACCAAGGCAACGAUGCGUAGCCGACCUGAGAGGGUGAUCGGCCACACUGGAACUGAGCCACGGUCCAGACUCCUACGGGAGGCAGCAGUAGGGAAUCUUCCGCAAUGGGCGAAAGCCUGACGGAGCAACGCCGCGUGAGUGAUGAAGGUCUUCGGAUCGUAAAACUCUGUUAUUAGGGAAGAACAAAUGUGUAAGUAACUAUGCACGUCUUGACGGUACCUAAUCAGAAAGCCACGGCUAACUACGUG
RNAcentral lists this ribosomal RNA (497 nucleotides) under uncultured bacterium. RNAcentral's name for it is "partial 16S ribosomal RNA". It matches the Rfam family "Bacterial small subunit ribosomal RNA", at positions 28 to 507 of the family's 1533-position model. The record is from RNAcentral.